UUUUGGUAUCUAGGGUAUCUCUGAGUAGUCGAUUUUUGAUCUCUACCCAUCCUCAAAACUGAAAACCAGUCCUCCAUUUCUCCAGGGCUUACCUUUUCAUCACUUGAAGACCAGUGGUUACGUGAUUUGGACCCACUGAGGAACGUAGAAUGAUAUCAGUUCAAAAGUAUUGGAUACCUGUGGAGCACUUUGCAAGAUAUUGCAGGAUUUUUGGGGCUUUCUAUAGAACUACACAGAAGUAUUGCUGAGUACUUUGCAAUAUGAAUUCCUGCAAUUUGCAGGAAUUUGCCACGCUUUUCAGGUGAUCAUGCUUGGCACUGUAUGCCACAAUGUGGAAACUUGACGGUAUCCUCAAGACACUAGAGAGCAUGACCAGGGGAUGAUGCCAGGGUGGGCAAGACAUAGCAUGCAUUAUACCUGUGUAGCUAAAGUGCCCACAAGAGACUGCAAAACUUCUCUAAGCAGCAGGUAUGUCAU
Long non-coding RNA from Homo sapiens (human), 477 nucleotides. The record is from Ensembl. Lineage: Eukaryota; Metazoa; Chordata; Mammalia; Primates; Hominidae.